Molecule: transfer RNA, 68 nt
Filed under: Marmota monax (woodchuck)
Lineage: Eukaryota; Metazoa; Chordata; Mammalia; Rodentia; Sciuridae
Description: tRNA.Ala
Rfam family: tRNA (bases 5-65)
About the family: Transfer RNA (tRNA) molecules are approximately 80 nucleotides in length.
Source: RNAcentral
GGAAUGUAGCUCAGUGGUAUAGCGCAUGUUAAGCAUGCAUGAGGCCCUGGGUUCAAACCCCAGCACCG